GCCGGAUGGCGCAGUGGUAGCGCGCACGCCUUCGAGGUGAGGGGGCCCGGGUUCAAACCCGGAGUGUGGCA
This 71-nucleotide transfer RNA is filed under the name Fasciola hepatica (liver fluke). RNAcentral's name for it is "tRNA-Arg". The record is from RNAcentral. Lineage: Eukaryota; Metazoa; Platyhelminthes; Trematoda; Plagiorchiida; Fasciolidae.